AUGGUCAGCUCCUGUUGUGGCUCUGUCUGCUCUGACCAGAGCUGUGGUUGAGGUCUCUGCCAGGAGAGCUGCUGCUGCCCCCACCGCUGCCAGACCACCUGCUGCCACCGAGCUGCUACAUCUCCAGCUGCUGCAGGCCUUCCUUCUGUAUCUCCAGCUGCUGCAGGCCUUCCUUCUGUAUCUCCAGCUGCUGCAGACCCAGUUGCUGCCAGACCACUUGCUGCACGACCACCUGCUGCCGCCCCAGCUGCUGCAUCUCUAGCUGCUGCAGGCCCCAGUGCUGUCAGCCCUCCUGCUACCACCCUGCUUGCUGCAUUUCUAGCUGCUGUCCUUCCAGCUGCUGCCGCCCCUCCUGUUGCCAGACCACCUGCUGUAGAACAACCUGCUUCCGCCCCAUCUGCUGUGGCAAUUCUUGUUGCUGAGUGACCUGCUCUGGAUUUGUGCAACUUCUUGCUCUUAUCCUUCAGUUCAGACAGACAGCAACUAUUCAGAGAACAUGUGGACUUUCUGAUGUCAUGAAAACAGAGGCAUGGACUGAUUUGGAAAAGCCCAGUCUCUUUAUUAGUGUUUAUUCUCUUUUAUAGAAGCUUUUUGUUACUAUUGAAUCUGAAUUUACAGUCAAAUUCCAUAUCAUAUGUUUUAGAAUUCUUUAUUGUAAUUCAAUAGACCUAAGUCUUCAAAUGGUACCCAUCUAUAUGUUUCUUCCUAGUGUUUUUCUAUGGAAUCAAUUUUCAAGUGCAAUUGCUUGAUGUUCAUCAAUAAAACUUCAUAAUGUUCAAAAGCA
This is a non-coding RNA of Callithrix jacchus (white-tufted-ear marmoset), 784 nucleotides long. The record is from RefSeq and is a predicted model, not a curated record. NCBI's taxonomy places the organism in Eukaryota, Metazoa, Chordata, Mammalia, Primates, Cebidae.